GACGAACGCUGGCGGCGUGCUUAACACAUGCAAGUCGAACGGAAAGGCCCUGCUUGCAGGGUACUCGAGUGGCGAACGGGUGAGUAACACGUGGGUGAUCUGCCCUGCACUUCGGGAUAAGCCUGGGAAACUGGGUCUAAUACCGGAUAGGACCAUCGUUUAGUGUCGGUGGUGGAAAGUUUUUCGGUGCAGGAUGAGCUCGCGGCCUAUCAGCUUGUUGGUGGGGUAAUGGCCUACCAAGGCGUCGACGGGUAGCCGGCCUGAGAGGGUGGACGGCCACAUUGGGACUGAGACACGGCCCAGACUCCUACGGGAGGCAGCAGUGGGGAAUAUUGCACAAUGGGCGCAAGCCUGAUGCAGCGACGCCGCGUGGGGGAUGAAGGCCUUCGGGUUGUAAACUCCUUUCAGCCAUGACGAAGCGUAAGUGACGGUAGUGGUAGAAGAAGCACCGGCUAACUACGUG
This 463-nucleotide ribosomal RNA is filed under the name uncultured bacterium. RNAcentral's name for it is "bacterial SSU rRNA". It matches the Rfam family "Bacterial small subunit ribosomal RNA", at positions 28 to 507 of the family's 1533-position model. The record is from RNAcentral.